GUGCUCGCUUCGCAGCACAUAUGCUAAAAUUGGAAUGAUACAGAGAAGAUUAGCAUGGCUCCUAAUGGCUCGCCCAUUCAAAAAGAAAAGAAAAAGUUA
RNAcentral lists this small nuclear RNA (99 nucleotides) under Castor canadensis (American beaver). The record is from RNAcentral. Lineage: Eukaryota; Metazoa; Chordata; Mammalia; Rodentia; Castoridae.